This 253-nucleotide ribosomal RNA is filed under the name uncultured bacterium. Its description in RNAcentral is "partial 16S ribosomal RNA". It matches the Rfam family "Bacterial small subunit ribosomal RNA", at positions 524 to 776 of the family's 1533-position model. The record is from RNAcentral.
UACGUAGGGUGCAAGCGUUAAUCGGAAUUACUGGGCGUAAAGCGUGCGCAGGCGGUUGUGCAAGACAGAGGUGAAAUCCCCGGGCUUAACCUGGGAAUGGCCUUUGUGACUGCACGGCUAGAGUGUGUCAGAGGGGGGUAGAAUUCCACGUGUAGCAGUGAAAUGCGUAGAGAUGUGGAGGAAUACCGGUGGCGAAGGCGGCAUCCUGGACCGGCAUUGACGCUGAGGAGCGAAAGCCAGGGGAGCAAACGGG